RNAcentral lists this ribosomal RNA (320 nucleotides) under uncultured eukaryote. RNAcentral's name for it is "partial 18S ribosomal RNA". It matches the Rfam family "Eukaryotic small subunit ribosomal RNA", at positions 1470 to 1796 of the family's 1831-position model. The record is from RNAcentral.
CCCCUAGAUGUUCUGGGCCGCACGCGCGCUACACUGAACAGUUCAACAAGUCUUAACCUUGGCCGAUAGGUCUGGGUAAGCUUUGAACGCUGUUCGUGAUUGGGAUAGACCUUUGCAAUUAUGGGUCUUCAACGAGGAAUUCCUAGUAAACGCAAGUCAUCAGCUUGCAUUGAUUACGUCCCUGCCCUUUGUACACACCGCCCGUCGCACCUACCGAUUGAAUGGUCCGGUGAAAUCUCGGGACGGCGGCUUGGUCGCUUGCGUCCGACUGCUGAAACUUGAUUAAACCAUAUCAUUUAGAGGAAGGUGAAGUCGUAACA